Molecule: long non-coding RNA, 2364 nt
Organism: Oncorhynchus kisutch (coho salmon)
Lineage: Eukaryota; Metazoa; Chordata; Actinopteri; Salmoniformes; Salmonidae
Exons: 3
Source: RefSeq, a predicted model, not a curated record
AUUUGUCGGAGGUAGCUAAAUGUUGUGUAAUCAUUUUUUUGUCAUUGUGGGCAGGACUUUACUUUUUGUUCUUCACAAACCAAUUUUGUACAUGGAAUAAUUACACAGAUGGACAACGCCAGGGUUUCCAUAGAAACAUGCGAUCAAGUUUGCGUUCAACGCUUUGUUUACAUGCUAACGCGCUCAGGCUGGUGACAUUCAGAAGCAGAGAGAGGAGUACGAAAGGAUGAAAUGAGAUCUCCAACAUAAGGCCCAGGAGGUGGAGGGAGAGCUGGCUAUACGGAACCAGUUGAAGCUGCUCUCUAAUGAGACAGAGGUCCACUCCCAGGCCUAGGCUGUGGAGGCCCUGAAGGCCUCAGAGGAUCUCUGUCAGCACACACAGCUACAGCACAGAGACUGGGAGAUAAAGGACAUCACCUCCGUCAAGGACGCACUUAAAACGAUUCAUGCCAGCCUUAUUUCCCAUUGUCAUUUCAAAGGAGCUAGAAGACAAACUAAAAGCUAUGCAGACCAAGAGGAAGAGAGAGAAGGAGAGAGGAAGGGAGAGGAGGGGAGAGGAGGAGAGAGGAAGAAUUAUACAAUAAGAAGGGAGUCCUAGAUCUUACCACUACUACUAUACAAAUGCAACAGACAGAGGCACAAAGAAAGACCAAUUAGCAGCAUAGGAGUAGAAGUCCUAGACUAAUGGUGGUCUAUUGGAUGGUGUCUUGAUGUUCCUAUCUGUAGGCAUGAUGAAUUGGACCGGGGAGUGCGUGAGAGAGAGGCUCAGCUGGAUGCAUUACGGGACGCUUACAGAGAACAGCUACAACUGGCAGAGACAGAUACCGAUCAUCUACGGUCACAACUGGACGCUAUUCCAACACACACACAUGCAGGCCCCGGAGAGACCACAAGGAAAUAAUGCGAAACAGACACACACAGUGUCUCACCUGUCUAUGUGUGUGUUUAUUCUGUGUUAACUGGGUCUGUGUUUUGACUGUGUGAGUGUGUGUGUUUUAUCCAUGAUGUGUGUUUUUUUCUGGUCCAAGGCCCUGGAUGAUCACAGUGUUUGUACAUGCUCAGAGUGUGUGAGAGUGUGUCUUCAGCUUUCCCACCCGGCCCGAAAUGUAUAAAUUAUAUAUUUUCUAAACAGAGACCAGUUCCGAAUGAACCAGACGACAGUCAGACCUGUUCCGAAUUAACCGGACGACAGUCAGACCUGUUCUGAAUUAACCAGACGACAGUCAGACCUGUUCCGAAUGAACCGGGCGACAGUCAGACCUGUUCCGAAUGAACCGGGUGACAGUCAGACCUGUUCCGAAUGAACCGGGUGACAGUCAGACCUGUUCCGAAUGAACCGGGCGACAGUCAGACCUGUUCAGAAUGAACCGGGCGACAGUCAGACCUGUUCAGAAUUAACCAGAUGACAGCCAGACCUGUUCCGAAUUAACCCGGGCGACAGUCAGACCUGUUCCGAAUGAACCGGGCGACAGUCAGACCUGUUCCGAAUGAACCGGGUGACAGUCAGACCUGUUCCGAAUGAACCGGGUGACAGUCAGACCUGUUCAGAAUGAACCGGGCGACAGUCAGACCUGUUCCGAAUGAACCGGGCGACAGUCAGACCUGUUCCGAAUGAACCGGGUGACAGUCAGACCUGUUCCGAAUGAACCGGGUGACAGUCAGACCUGUUCCGAAUGAACCGGGUGACAGUCAGACCUGUUCCGAAUGAACCGGGCGACAGUCAGACCUGUUCAGAAUGAACCGGGCGACAGUCAGACCUGUUCCGAAUGAACCGGGUGACAGUCAGACCUGUUCCGAAUGAACCGGGUGACAGUCAGACCUGUUCCGAAUGAACCGGGCGACAGUCAGACCUGUUCCGAAUGAACCGGGCGACAGUCAGACCUGUUCAGAAUGAACCGGGCGACAGCCAGACCUGUUCCGAAUGAACCGGGUGACAGUCAGACCUGUUCAGAAUGAACCGGGCGACAGUCUGACCUGUUCCGAAUGAACCGGGCGACAGUCAGACCUGUUCCCGAAUGAACCGGGUGACAGUCAGACCUGUUCCGAAAGGCCCAUGGAAAAAUAAACCCAUGCUGAUUUGGCCUACUUGUCCUUAAAAACUGUCUACAACAAUUACUAAAAACUAUUAGUUGUGUUUGGAUGUGUAGCCUGUGGUUCAAAACUUUAUAGUCUAUUGUUUUAUUGGUUUGUACAAUAAUUAUUCUCCACCUCACGGUUCAGCUGCUAGAGAUUUGAGCUGUAAAUGCAUAAGGCCUAUAUUUCAAAAGUGAAUAUAAAGGAAGAGGAGUUUAGGCCUAACCCUAAAGAGACCGAGAGGAAGAUAGAGAUAUGUCGGCGACAUGUUCAACACCGACAUGCAUUUCU